Molecule: transfer RNA, 82 nt
Filed under: Psilocybe cubensis
Lineage: Eukaryota; Fungi; Basidiomycota; Agaricomycetes; Agaricales; Agrocybaceae
Rfam family: tRNA
About the family: Transfer RNA (tRNA) molecules are approximately 80 nucleotides in length. Their secondary structure includes four short double-helical elements and three loops (D, anti-codon, and T loops).
Source: Rfam by way of RNAcentral
ACACUGAUGGUGAAGUGGUUAUCAUGCUUGCCUUCCACGGUCACGUGAGCAAGCGGCAGGGGUUCGAUUCCCCUUCAGUGUA